GUGGACGCCAGUCUGCACGGAGCCAUCCUUGAAAUACCACCCUUUAACGUUUGAUGUUCUAACCCGGGUCCAUAAUCUGGAUCGGGGACCGUGUCUGGUGGGUAGUUUGACUGGGGCGGUCUCCUCCCAAAGAGUAACGGAGGAGCACGAAGGUUGGCUAAGCAUGGUCGGACAUCAUGCGGUUAGUGCAAAGGCAUAAGCCAGCUUGACUGCGAGAGUGACGGCUCGAGCAGGUACGAAAGUAGGUCUUAGUGAUCCGGUGGUUCUGAAUGGAAGGGCCAUCGCUCAACGGAUAAAAGGUACUCCGGGGAUAACAGGCUGAUACCGCCCAAGAGUUCAUAUCGACGGCGGUGUUUGGCACCUCGAUGUCGGCUCAUCACAUCCUGGGGCUGAAGUAGGUCCCAAGGGUAUGGCUGUUCGCCAUUUAAAGUGGUACGCGAGCUGGGUUUAGAUCGUCGUGAGACAGUUCGGUCCCUAUCUGCCGUGGGCGCUGGAAGAUUGAGAGGGGUUGCUCCUAGUACGAGAGGACCGGAGUGAACGCACCACUGGUGUACGGGUUGUGAUGCCAAUUGCAUUGCCCGGUAGCUAAGUGCGGAAGAGAUAACCGCUGAAAGCAUCUAAGCGGGAAACUUGCCUCGAGAUGAGUCUCCCCUGACCCUUUAAGGGUCCUGAAGGAACGUUUGAGACUAAGACGUUGAUAGGCUGGGUGUGUAAGCGCAGCGAUGCGUUGAGCUGACCAGUACUAAUGAACCGUGAGGCUUAACCUGACAACACCGAAGGUGUUU
RNAcentral lists this ribosomal RNA (785 nucleotides) under Morganella sp. HMSC11D09. RNAcentral describes it as "bacterial LSU rRNA". It matches the Rfam family "Bacterial large subunit ribosomal RNA", at positions 2164 to 2925 of the family's 2925-position model. The record is from RNAcentral. Lineage: Bacteria; Pseudomonadati; Pseudomonadota; Gammaproteobacteria; Enterobacterales; Morganellaceae.